AGUGAACGCUGGCGGUAGGCCUAACACAUGCAAGUCGAACGGAAGCACAGUAAGAGUUUGCUCUUACGGGUGGCGAGUGGCGGACGGGUGACGAAUACAUCGGAAUCUUCUUUUUCGUGGGGGAUAACGUAGGGCAACUUACGCUAAUACCGCAUAUGACCUACGGGUGAAAGCAGGGGAUAUUCGCACCUUGCGCGAUAGAUUGAGCCGAUGUCGCAGUACCUAGUUGGUCAGGUAACGGCUCAACAAGGCGACGAUGAGUAGCUGACCGGAGAGGAUGAUCGGCCACAAGGGAACUGAGACACGGUCCAGACGCCGACGGGAGGAAGCAGUAGGGAAUCGUCCGGAAUGGGGGAAAGCCUGACGGAGAAACGCCGAGUGAGGGAUGAAGGUCUUCGGAUCGUAAAACUCUGUUAUUAGGGAAGAACAAAUGUGUAAGUAACUAUGCACGUCUUGAAGGUACCUAAUCAGAAAGCCAAGGCUAACGACGUG
Molecule: ribosomal RNA, 492 nt
Filed under: uncultured bacterium
Lineage: Bacteria
Description: partial 16S ribosomal RNA
Rfam family: Bacterial small subunit ribosomal RNA
Source: RNAcentral